Molecule: transfer RNA, 73 nt
Filed under: Mycosarcoma maydis (corn smut)
Lineage: Eukaryota; Fungi; Basidiomycota; Ustilaginomycetes; Ustilaginales
Description: tRNA-His (GTG) (tRNA-His-GTG-1-1)
Rfam family: tRNA
About the family: Transfer RNA (tRNA) molecules are approximately 80 nucleotides in length.
Source: RNAcentral
GCGGUCUUAGUAUAGUGGUCUAGUACAGCUCGUUGUGGCCGAGCAGACGGAUGUUCGAUUCCUCCAGACCGCA